CCUACGGGAGGCAGCAGUGAGGAAUAUUGGUCAAUGGACGAGAGUCUGAACCAGCCAAGUAGCGUGAAGGAUGACUGCCCUAUGGGUUGUAAACUUCUUUUAUCAAGGAACAAAACGAGGCACGUGUGCCUUUUUGCAUGUACUUUAUGAAUAAGGAUCGGCUAACUCCGUGCCAGCAGCCGCGGUAAUACGGAGGAUCCGAGCGUUAUCCGGAUUUAUUGGGUUUAAAGGGAGCGUAGAUGGGGUGUUAAGUCAGUUGUUAAAGUUUGCGGCUCAACCGUAAAAUUGCAAUUGAUACGGGCAGUCUUGAGUACAGUUGAGGUAGGCGGAAUUCGUGGUGUAGCGGUGAAAUGCUUAGAUAUCGCGAAGAACCCCGAUUGCGAAGGCAGGUUACUAAACUGUGACUGACAUUGAUGCUCGAAAGUGUGGGUAUCAAACAGGAUUAGAUACCCUUGUAGUC
Molecule: ribosomal RNA, 460 nt
Filed under: uncultured bacterium
Lineage: Bacteria
Description: partial 16S ribosomal RNA
Rfam family: Bacterial small subunit ribosomal RNA
Source: RNAcentral